UAAAGAUUUAUGGUUUAUAAGUACGGAGAAUAGCAAUAAUGUUCUACCUGGGUUGAUGGGCUUUGGAGGAUUAUUUUUCUUAAGUGGGCAGUCUCUAUGGAAAUGUAUUUGGUUGGGUAUCUGGUUUGUAGAACAUAUCUUGCAGGGUAUGGAGGCUGGUUCAUUGAGUUGUGGGGUUCUUGCUGGUGGUGAGUUGCUGCUGCUGUCCUGGGAAAAGGCUGGUAUUGAUGAGCUUGGGAGGAGUUGGAGUUAAAUCUUCUUACUGGAUUAAAUGGUCUAUUGUUUGUGCUUGUAGAGGGUUGUUGGAAAUCUUCUUCUUGAUUUGUGGUGCAUUUUAUUUGGGUUGUAAUUUUAAACUAAUCUGAGGGUUCUUGGACUCUUGCAGCUAUUAGGUAUUUUUUGAGGUGGUUUGGCAUUCCAUCUGUUAGUGCCUCUAAUAAAAGUGUUUUUACUAGAUUGAAUUUUUUGGUUAAGGCAGAUUUUUCCUUAAAAUAUUGUUCAAGAUCAUCUUUUUCAUUAUAUUUUAAAUUUAGAAACCUACUAAAUAAAUUUGAAUCCUUUAUUGUAAAUAUGAUGUUAAUUUUUGUUCUAAAUCCCUCCAAUUAUCAAUAUCUUGUAAUUCUUCUAUGUAAUAACUGAAUGCUUCUCCCUCAAGAUAAUUUGCUAUAUUAAUUAUUUUAAAAUCUUCAUCAAGAUGUUUCUGCAGACAUUUUUUGUUAAAAACGUUCCCGAGGUUGAUGCCGAUGCCGGAGGCCCGUUUGAAGUCCUCGAGGACGGCCACCACCUGCUCGAACUGCUUGUCGCGAUGGAUCAGGAGGACAAUGGCGUAGGCGAUGGUCGACUCCAGGCGACGUAGCAGUGGCCCCGUAGCGAUGCUGAACAGCGCUGUGCUUACGGCGCAGCCCUGCCUAAGGCCGUUGUGGAGGAGGAAGGCGGUGGUGUGGUAUCCCCCCCCCAGAUCGUCGCGCCCGCCCCGGCGUACAAGAUCUUGAUCCAGCCUAUGAAGGGAGGCGAAGGGACAUCAGGGAUUCUAGGAAGCCGCAGUCCAGGGAAUUGAAGGCGGAUUCAAGGUUAACCCCCACGACGGUCAGUGGCGAGCCCAUAGCAGUUGCCUCCUCAACCGCAUCGGUGACCUGGGCGAUGUUCCAAGAGGGGGACCUCCCGGGAACAUCCAUGGAGCAGUAAUGGCUACCCAGACCUCGAAGGUCCACAAGCCGGCAUGCGUAGCAUGCACCCCUGCUGCCAUAUAGCCACCGUGCCAUAGGAAUGGUGCAUUCUCCAUGCACCGAGCGGCCAUUGUUUGGCCCCUCGCGCCCGCCAUUAUGGUCUGGCUCCGUGGGCGCGACCAGUCAACCCACAGGCGUCUCCGAGAGUUCAUGGCAAGGUUGCUGUCCUAGCCCUCCCGUUCAGACUUGGUCUAAUCCGCCCUACGCUCCAAUAGGACUCCUCCCCCCUUUGGCCCUCGUACCCUUUAGUCACAGUACUCCUGAAUCUGCCGUCAAAUCAAGACCUCUGAGGUUCCAAGGUUGACGCGGGAACACCACGCGGAGGCUGGAGGGUGGUACUACUGUGUGUACCCCUUGGUUUUCCAUGGCGCACAACACAGAGCGAAGACCCAAGAGUUUCUAGACCCAUCCUUUCAGCCUUACCAGUACUCCACUAGGUCAUCGGCUAGCACACUCUUUUCUUUUCAGCCUUACUAGCACUCUCCGCCAGAUCAUCGGCAAGCUAUCCACUGUAGUCAACUGCGGCAUCUAACAGUUGAGGAAGAUCUCACUAGCGAUAUCAUGAGCUCUUUCCAAUAACUUCCAGUGGGAUUUCAGGAGCUCCAGUUCAAUUGCUCCUUUAACCCUUCUACUCUCCCCUCCCCUCUUGGGACCCUUGGCAGUCCACUAUAAAGUGUUUGGCGUUCACCCCAGGGCUCCCACAUACGCAUUUGUCGUCCGCUUUAAUACCAAACUGAGAGGAAACGGGCCGUGUCCCGUAAUCAUCCUGUUCAGUUUGUGUGAGAGGAUCUGACCGUUCCUUUUUGGAUCUCCUAUUCAUUUAAAGGCUUCCCGACCGUUUGUUUCCACCCAUCUGUCCUUCCACAACCCAUUUAUAUGCGCUCGGAUACUCUUGAAAACCUCUUUCUUUGGAAUUGGGGUCACCACAUCCCUUCCAGACCAGCAUCCCUCUUUUGCCAGUUUAUCAGCCAAUUCAUUGCCCUCAAUUAGAGAGUGCCCCUUGACCCAGUACAAUUCGGGGGGCCUAUCCAUUUCACUUAGCAGAUCCGCUACUUCAUGCGCCAUCUGUCCCUUCUCCAAGCAAAUGGAGAUGAGGGCGGACAUACAAUCCGAGUAGAUUGCCUUAGGAGGCAGACGGUCUCUCCUACACCAGAUCAGAGCCUCUCUGAUCGCGACCAGUUCUGCUGAAUACACCCGCUCAUCGUGCCUUAGUUUCAGUGUUUGUCGGCCCACUACCGAUCUAUCACUGAAAAUGGCGAUGCCAGCCCCAGUUCUCUUACCAUACUUGCUCCCGUCUGUGAAUAUCUCCAUUUCUUUACCAGACGGUAAGCCCUCUGACCACCUCCAUCUAGGUUCCCAGUUCACGUCCUUAUCUGGGUCCUUCGCCCAUUCAAGCUCCUCAGGCGCAAUGCCCAAAUCGUUCUCAGUCCUGUCGACCCAGAUAAGCUGCCUCAGUUUCUCUUCCUCCAGCCUUAGAGAAACAGGAGUCAGAUCCGAAAUCACAGUAAAGCCUCUGUACUAGUAGUACAGUACCCCCAGUGAUCCUCAGAGUUGCUACUCUCUGCACUGACUCUAAAGUUGUUCCGACUUUCCUAUCGCGGUUCCUCUUCCACCACGCUCUUGAACCGUACAGAAGAAUCGGCUCAACCAGCUGAGGUAGAGACUCCUGAAAAUCUCCCCUUCCCUGCCCCCUCUCAGAAGCGCUAGCCUGCAUAGUCUCGAUAGUGCAGACCUAGCCCUCAACCCUAUAUCCUUGGCGUGGUCCAUCCAGCUCAACUUAUUGUUCACCACUACACCGAGGAUUUUCAUGUUUGACCACCUGAAUCCUCUCACCCCCUAGCUGCAAGAUGGGAUUGUGGUCAUAUUCGACGCCAGUCCGUUUGGCUCGAACAUCUCGCGAUUUAAAACUCUGGGCCUUUGUUUUGCCCACGUUAAAUUUGAGCUUCACCAGUUCUGCCAACCCUUUAACCUACCGAUGCUUUUAUUGGCUAGAGCCUCAGCUUUUCUUCGGGAUUUCUCACUUAUAAUCAGGUAGUUGUCAUCAGCAUAGGCUACCAUGCAGGCGCCUGCUGGAAGUUCCUUGCGGAGAAUAGUGUCAGCCACUACAUUCCACAGUAUGGGACCACAGCAGGAACCUUGAGGGCAGCCCUUUGACACUAUUCUGUGCAUGUCCACUGCACCUACCUCAAUUGAGACCCGCCCUGUCUCGUAAGAAAUCCCUUAUUAACGUCAGUAGGUUAAAGGGACACCCUUUCUCAUCGAGGGCAUUCACAACCAUGUUCCAAUUUGGGUUGUCGAACGCGCCGCGAUGUCGAAGGAGAUCUCAAUCACCCAGUUUCCCUUUGCGACUCCUUCCUCGAUCUUGCCCAGUAUCCCCUCCAAGCAAGUGGUCGUAGACAGUCCCUUCCUAAAGCCAUGUUGGGAACUGGAAAGGUGUCCGCCCGAUUCUAGCCACCUUGUCAGCCUUUGUGCCAGAAGACUGUCCAUUACCUUUCCCAGGCAUGAUAGGAGAGACACAGGCCUAUAGUCCUUUGCCGUAGCGCCCGACUUGCCACUUUUUUCGAGUAAAGCAAUCCUCGCUGCCUUCCAAGCCCUCGGGAACCUACCCAGUUCCAAGCAGCGAUUGUAUAACCUGGUGAGAAGUGACCCAUAUCUUCUCACCAGAGCCUUCACGAUGGUGUUGUCAAUGCCAUCGGGACCAAGGGAUUUUCUGUUCCCAAAUUUGAAGGCUGUCCUUUUGACCUCCCUCUCAGUGAAGAGUGGAUCCAUACGCCCAUUUCUUGGUAACACAUCCUCGCAUUCCAGGUGCCCCACCCCAAAGUUCACGUCCAGAAUAUGAGACAGCGUGUCCGAGAGGUCAUGUGCGCGCGAUCCAUCCUCCUUUCUUAACAACUUCAGGGCCUUAGGAUUCCGAAGUUUCUCCAUGGCCAACUUGUAUGGUAAACCAUACUUGUCGUCCUUCAGUGUCCUGCUACACUGAGCUCUCCAAUGACCUCUGUGUGCUUUCCGUGUCCUCUUCUUGUACUUGGCCAGUUCCGCCCUGUACCGAGUCCACUUCCCCUCUCUUUCAUUUUCGCUACACUUCUGCGCUCUCCUCCUUAAAGCCCGCAUCCUUUUCCGCUCCACCAGGGCUGCUUUUUCCUCUUAAAGGAAAGAACUGUCCCAGUUCCAGGUCCAAGACCUCCGCUCGUAGUGAUGAUGUCAAGGUGAAGCCCGUCCACAGCUCUCUCCAGGCUAUCACCAUCCACCGCCAGUUCUAGGUCAUUUUCAAGUUCAGUGUUGAACUUUUUGAGAAACCUCUGAUAUUCGCUCCCCUGACGCUGUACCUGGGAGUCCUCUCUACAGAGACCGGGUUUGCUGAACUCUUUGCUGUGAAGCUGAUUAGCUUGUGAUCACUAGCAUCAGUAAACUCGGCUUUCCAAGAGUCUCUAACGAGUCCACUUCCCCUAUUUAGGGUGAGGUCAAUCACGCUUUCACUUUCGUUUCGCGUGCUGAACGUCGGAGUGCCCCAAUUGUUCCAUACCUCCAGACCCAGAGAUAUUAUUAGGUCCUAGAUUUCUGCCCCUGGUGCUGUCUUCUCUAUCUCUCAGGAAGAGUGAGCGGCAUUAAAAUCGCCAGUUAUUAGCACGUUUUCGAUCCUAACAUUUCUAACCAUUUGACUCAGCAACUCAAGCACACCUUGCUCCGGUUCAAUGGGUGAAAUGUAUACAGAAAUGCAUAGCAGCUUGAGAUCCGCCGUCUCAACCAUAACUGCUAUUACGCCCCUCCAGGAGCCAUACUCAACGCAAAGAACGUCACCCCUGACCAGGAUACAAGCCUUCCUACACCCACCAUAGAAUGUCUUGUACCUUGUAUCUACCCACAUUUUGUUCCUUGAGAUGUAUGGCUCCUGCACCGACACCACAUGAAAUCCCUCCUCUUUCAUGUGUCGGUUCAACUCCUCGUUCCCCCUUCUUGCCCUAGCUGCGUUCAGCUGGGCAAAACUCCACCGAUAUGGUGCCAGUGUCACUAUGAUCGAUUCUGGAGAUGCCAGUUCCUUACUCCACAGGCUUUGGAUCUUAGCGUGUGAUCCAGCCUGUACUUUUUCUUAGACCUUUCCUUAGCCUCCUUACAGAGCCAGCACCCUACUGUCUCGAGGCAAGGUUCUACCCUCUCAUGCAACCCUUCGCACUUAUAGCACCGCCAUGGGUUCCUACACUGUGUCGCCAGGUGACCCAUGCCCUUACAGUGCUGACAGAAAGGUACCCUCAUAUUUACCUUUACUGUCACCCUUCUAAAGCCAAUGGCAAGUUUCUUUAGGCCUUUCAGCCUGUUGCCAAUCACACCAUUUGUCACCAAAACCCACGUCUGGGUUCCAGUACCUCUGGUGUAGACCUUAAUGAGCCGGUCCUUCUCCCCCAGUUUGACGCCGUUCUGGUGUCUGAGGAAAUCCGUAUUUCCUCACUGGAGUGUUUGGGGUCCGCUCCCAACAGAACCAGCUCAAAAGGCCGCUCCCUCAAGUCCCUACAUUCGGCGAUCACACUCUCCCUCAAUAGUGGGGUCGCUUUGACCUUGUCUUCCGCCUUUAGGAAGGUCAAGGCCACCCCCGUACCCUUUUUAAUCUGGGUCAUCUUGUAGUUUAGAUGCCCAGAUUCUGCGCCGAGCCUCUUAAUAACUUCCAUCAAGAGGUAACCUUCGGCAUCCUUUUUUUUCUCAACAACGAGCGUCCUCGUUGUAUCCCAUCUGUUGGAUCUCCCCUCUUUCGCCUUUGUUGGUCCUUUGGGAAGGGCCCUCACGCUCUCCUUAACCAUUCCAUCAAAGGUUCCCUUAUCACACACACAUACAAAAGCCUUUAAAGACACGCUGGUCUUAUAGAGGAUUCUUCCCGAGAUUACAAGAGAGAUAGGCCUGUGAAAGUGGGGAAUAUACAGAAGAAGAAAAAGAAAGAUUAUGUAAGUAUGAUAUAUUGGUUCCCUCGUCUGGUAUCAGGGCAAUCAGCGCACUGUUGAGUUCCCUCACCUCGGCGAUGGAUCCCUCCAGGCUCCUGCACCUGUUCAGUAAGGUGGCGAAGCAGGUUUCCAGAAGUACCAUCUGCUUCACCGCCACCCUCUUGCCCUUUUUCAAGGUCUCGAAGGUGGAGGUAAGGAUCAGAGGCACUUCCUCCGCGUUGCUCGGGUUCAGCCCUUCUACCUGGGUAGACCCCGCCUCCUCCAGUGGCGUCUGGAGUCCUUUCAAGACAGCUUCCUCCACCGUCAGAGGAGUGUCACCCGGGUCGUCUGAAGCACGCGUCCACUCGCGUACGUUCUUCAAGGGUCUUAGCUCCUUAGAGGGCCCUUGGGUAUCGUUUUCAUGGGCUGUAGUUAUUCACAUUAUUAAUAAGAGGGGUGCAUGGGAAGUUAUUAGACCCUCGGGCUGGCCCGUCAGCUCCGAUAAGAUCGUUCACUCCACGGCAAGAGGGGUCUUCCUCAGGUGUUACCUGAGCCUCAUUUACUGAUUUAUUUUGUGCUGACAUUAUUAGGGGUGUAACCUGUGAGAUAAUGACACCAGCCGCCACCUGUUACCAAGGCUGAACUGGGUAUAUCCGUCUUUCCAGACUUGUCAGACUAGCUAUCAGCAUUGGCCACGCUUUUGUUAGAAACGUGCUCAGGACGCACCACGGGAAGGUGCUGAUCAGCAUAUGUUGGUAGCCGUCAAGCCUCCCUACUUUGCGCAAUCUGCAACUGGGCGUCACCCCUGUCACAGACUCCUAUUAGCAUCUCUAACUCUUCUACUAGAUCCACAUUGAUCUGUCGUGAUCAGUUAGCUCCAGCCACCCUCUUUCAGGCUGCUGGGUACAGACCGCUACUACCCGCGAGUCGGGAGCCGAGGACUGCGGAUGCCAGACUCAUAGUCCUAGCCACUCUCCGUGCAGUCAGAACUAAGGCCCCGGGCCCACCUCCCGGGGACAGUGUAGAUCUGGCAGUCUUGCACCAGGGCUCGUAGGUGGGGUCUGAGGCGCCGGAGGAGAACAGCUGCCAGGACCCUGUAGUCAGCCGAGGGCAACGAGAUGGGCCUGUAGCCAUCGAGGCCGCAAUCGCUGCGGGCCUUGGGUAUCAGGCAGAUGGAACUGUGCCGCGUGUUAGUGCUUCCUUAUUGCAUGGCGUCCGUCCUGUCAAUCUGUUGCAGUCCAAUUCCUCUAUCAGCAGGCCUUCGAGUGAUCUGACUACUGAGGGCAACAUAAGCUUGGCCGUACAUAUAGAGCUUCGACCCCAAGUAAACUACUGCGUGGUCAACAGUGCUUCCUUGUGUACUGUUGGUGCCCAAGAACAAGACAGUUGGCGACAUUCUUUGUUUCACGGUUCCAUUACUAUGGUGGUGUGCCUUUUGAAGGGAUGUAUUUUUUUCCAAAUUCAUAGUGGUAGAAGGAGAAUUUUCCUCUUGGAUUGUAGCUGCUCCUAGAACAGUUACAGGAAUUGCUACGACAAAAAAAAAAUUGUAGAUAAAAUAACCAAAUACCUAAUAAUUUUAGAUGGACUGGUACAUGUUUUCACUGCACUUCAGACAAGUCUGCCCAUUCAAUCUCUUAGUUCACAUUUUAUAUAAUAUACAAUAUUAUAUUACAAUAUUGGCCUCUAAGUCAAUGCCAAAAUGAAUGCUCUAUGAAAGCAACAAAUGAAGGGCCGAAAACGCUCAUGAAGACAAUAGAAGACAACAUAUUUAAAGGAGCAUCUCCAACGGAAAACAUCAGUUCCUAAUGUUAGGAAGAUAUCUUCAUAAAGGUUCAAGAGAAUGCUCUAUAAAGACAACAAAUUGAAAGUUGUUGCGCGACCUGCACCCCCUUGAGGCACCCCUGGAGCAGAUGGCCACCCAGACCUUACGGUCCACAAGCCGGCAUGCGAAGCAUGCCCUUAGCUGCUAUCUUGUUCCACUCAUAAGCCAAGUAACGGCAUCCAAGCUGGUGCUUGAAUAUUGUACCUGGAAAAACCACCUCCCAGAUGACGAGUCUGGAAGAAUUUAUAUACCGGUGACCUUUAGUCACAGCAAAACAGUAAACUGUCUACUGCGUCCAGCUGGGACCACGGGAAGGCGGCCACCUGUUGACCCUGUUCAUUCGCAGCUGAGAAAGAGCUCAGCUGCCACAUCGUGAGCUUUCUCGAGAUGCUUGCUGUGAUUUCUCAGCAGCUCGCUCUCGCCCCUCGCCCUCCUUCUCUCUUCCUGCACGCCUACCACCCUUGAGCAAUCCAAGACGUAGUGGCGUGCGUCUACAUCCCUCUCUCCACAGACGCAAUCAGGAUUGCUCUUUAUCUUGAAUCUGUGGAGACUCCUGGGGAAGGGCCCAUGUCCCGAAACUACCCUAAUUAGUACCUUACAUAGGUACUUGGGUAUUGUUACCCAAUUUGAUACCUCCCUCCCCUUGUCGCUGCUCUUCCAUCUGUCCAACCAUAGGUCCUGGACGUGCCCCCUGAUCCUAUAAACUUCCUUUUUGGUCACAGGAGUCCUCACAGAUCUACCUCUAAAGCACCCUGCUUUAGCGAGCCUGUCUGCAAAUUCAUUACCUUCGAUGAGGCUGUGACCCCUAACCCAAUGGAGAUCUGGAGCCCGCGAUAUCAUCUCCAGCUCCUGGAUUUGAUGCGCGAGUUGCCCCUUCUCCAUAUUGAUGGCGACCAGGGCCGACAUGCAAUCUGAAUAGAGGCGGUCAGGGCUCAAGUUCUUCUCGGCACACAUUCUGAGGGCUUCCCUGAUCGCAACCAGCUCGGCUGAAUAGACCAGUUCGUCCACUCUGAGUGUUACGCUUUCUUGGAAGAUCAGCUCCCCAUUGGUGAAGAUCACAACCCCAGCUCCAGUAUUGGUUCCAGACUUGCUCCCAUCAGUGAAGACCUCCGUACCAAUCCCUGUUGGCACUCCAGGACUCCCAAUUCCACUUUGGCAGCCACUGCGGAGGCUUCCUUGGGUCCCUCUUCCAUUCCAAGGUACCCGCUUCAAGGCCCAGGGCGUCUUCCCUAUCUUCCCAAAUUUUCUGUCUGAUGGCCUCCUCCUCUAGUUUCAAACCCAGGGGAAUAAGCCCAGCGAGGACCAACAAGGCCUCCGUGCUGGUAGUGCGAUAUCCCCCUGUGAUUCUGAGUGCCGCUGUCCUCUGCACUCUCUCUAGAGUUGUUGCCACCUUCUGAUCUUUAUUUCGGCGCCACCAGGCCCUAGAGGCAUAUAGUAGGAUUGGCUCGACACAGGAAAGGUAGAGGUUCCUAAAGAUAGUACCUCCUUGCCCCCCCCUGUUGAGAGCUAACCGUGACAGCCUGCACAAUGCCUGUCUGCCUCUCGCCACCAUCUCCGCGUGGUAUUGCCAUCCCAACUUAUCAUCAAUAAAACCCCAGGAUGGUCAUCCUAUUUACUACCGAUACCCUCCGUCCUUCCAUCCGGAUAGCCGGCUUAUGUUCCCAUCUGAUCCCUUUUCUUUUGGUUCUUAUGUCCCUAGACUUAAAGCUGAGGGCUUUAGUUUCAGCGACAUUGAACCUAAGGCCAGAGUCGUGGGCCCAGUUCGCGAGGAUUUGGAGAGAGUUUUCCACACACUUCUCAACCUUCGCUCUCAAAGCAGCCUCAAUGAUGUGGAACUGGUCGUCGGCAUAGAGAACCAGCCUGGCUCCCUCAGGUAGCUCCUCCUGGAAAACAGUGUUUACCAGGAUGUUCCACAGAACAGGUCCACAGCAGGAGCCCUGGGGGCAACCCCUGGCACAUUUUCUUACCAACUUCAGUCCAUCAAAACUGAGGCUAACCCGUCUAUCCCUCAGGAAGUCACGAACCAAGCUACACAAAUUAUUCAGAAAACCCAUAUCCAUCAAAUUUCUCAUCAGCUUGUUCCAGUUCAUGGAAUUGAAAGCACCAUCAAUGUCCAGGGCCACGAGAAGAACCCAAGCACCCUUAUUUAGCCCUAUCUCAACCCCCUCUAAUACUUCGUUCAGAGCUGUGGUUGUCGACUUGCCUUCCCUAAAACCAUGUUGGGAAGAGGAAAGGAGCUCAUUACUCUCUAGCCAGCUUCAGACGCUGAGCUAGUUGGCUAUCUAGGACCUUACCUAGACACGCUAGUAACAAAAGCGGACGAUAAUCAAUAGGGGAAUUACCCUUUCUACCAGACUUUUCCAGAAGCACUACUCGGGCAACCUUCCAUACCUUAGGAAAAGUACCAGUGUCCAGGCACCUAUUGAAUAACCUGGCAAGAAGCGAUGGGUGCAUCCUAACCAGGGCUUUCACGAUCGUGUUAUCGAUUCCGUCCGACUCAGGAGAUUUCCUGUUCCCGAACUUGAAAGCCGUCCGUUUAACCUCCAUCUCAGAAAAGGGCGGAUCCACCAAACCACAAGUGGUCAGCAAAAUCUCAUCCUCUGGCACUUCGUUUCCAAAAUGCCGAUCCAAGAUGAGGUCCAGGGUCUCCUUAAGGUCCCGGGUCUUGAACCCAUCUUCAUCUUCAAGCAGCCUCAAGUUAGCGUAGCUCCUUAUCUUACCAGAAACAACCCUGUAAGGGAGAACGUAUGGAUUUAUUUCCAGUACGGUGUUGCACUGCUCCCUCCAGUGUCUCCUCUUCGCCCUCUUGGUGCGUCUUUUAUAUCACGCCAAGAUUUUCCUGUAGGCUAUUCCCCUCCUGAUCCUUUCUUCGCCUACGCUGUUCUGGAAUAGUUUCCUCAUGGCCCUGACUCUCUUUCUCUCGAUCUCUAACUCCUCUGUCCACCAAGGCUGUUUAAGCCUUUUAAAUGUGGUAACUUUUCCAGGCCCCAGCGCUCGACACGUGUUGAUUAUAUCCUGGUGAAGCUCAUUGACCAUGCUAUCAAUAGCAAUUCCGUCAACAGCUCCAGUCAGGCUACCCUCAAGCGUGCAAACGAACCGGCGUCUGAAUCUUUCAAGGUUAGGCCCCCUGAUACAGAGGAGCUCUCUCCACUGAUGGCGGUUCCACAUCACAACUGGCUUCAAACCUGAUGAGUUUGUAGUCGCUUACGUCCGUGGGGUCCGUUUCCCACCUCAAACGCCGCAUCCUGCUUGUUCUUGCCAGGAAGAAGUCUAUUAUGCUUUCACCGUUUACCGUGGCAAACGUUGAUUCACCAUAGACGUUCCAAACUUCCAGACCCUGACCGAUAACUAAAUCGACCAGAGACCUUCCUUUGCGAUUUUCCUCCCUGUCCCCAAACAGCUGGGUGCGCGCGUUAAAAUCCCCGCCAAUCACAAUCUUGUGCCCUUCCUUCUGGACCAAAAGGUAAUUUAGGAAGUCCAGCCUACCGAGAUCGUUGUCCUGAGGUGGUAUGUACACAGAGAGGCAGACCAAUUUUAGAUCCGCCGCCUCGAUCUGUACAGCCGCCGCCCCCUCCCAGGACCCACAUCCCAGACAAGGAAGGUCUCCCCGGACCAGUAAGGCAGCCUUUUUGCACUCACUAGAGAAGAAACUAUAUCGAGUAUUUAGACCCAUCCUCCCAUCAUCCUCCAGGUACAUCUCCUGCACCUGAUAACGUGAGGGUGAUCACUUUUAAUGAUCCGGUCUAGCUCCUCGGAGCUCCCCCUCGAAUGGGCGCAAUUUAGCUGCACAAACCUCCAUACCUCCUUAUUUGGCCCCUCUACCAUUGCCUCCCAUUCACAUACCAGGCCUUUACCGAGCACUGCGUACUCCGGGGGCGAUGAUCAGUCAUACUUCCUGCCGUACCUCUUAUUGGCCUCUAAGCAGAGCCAACAUCCCGGCCUCAUGUCGCAACCCUGCUCUGGGGAGUGUACGCCCUCGCACCUCCCACACCUCUUAGGGUGUUCGCAGGUUCUUGCAAUAUGACCGGCCCUGAGGCACCUGAAGCAGGUCGACACCGCGUCGUUCACCCUGAUAGGUACCAUCCUUGCACCUAUUUUCAACCUCUUCUUGCCCAAGAGGAAUUUCAUGGUGCCUCCUUUAAGCCAGAAAUGACCCAAUUCGUGGCGUAGGGCCUCCUUGUUCUCUUUUGAUACAAUCUCAUAUAUCCUUCCAAGAAGUCCCCACACCCCGAAUUUUGGAGCACCACCAUUUCUCUUAGCAUCCCCUCUUUAAUGUCAGAGUUGACACCUAAGAGGAUCAGCUCCCUCCUGGCCCUCUUGAGGCCUCCAAGCCUCAGAGCAGGCACCCUCUCUAUAGCCUCCAUGGCCAGUUUCCUGUCCUCGGGGUUCUUCAAAAUGAGGGCCACCGCACCCCCACCCCGAAUUAUUUUGAGGUCAUAGCGGUUCCCAGGAAUGCUACCAGCGGUGCUUUUCAGUACCGCGAGCAUUAACCCAGACCCUGCUCCCUCAUUCCACUCAACUACCAGGGUCAGAUCCUCGUUCCAUCUAGGGGGGCCUUUGACCUUUGGAGGUUCUGGCCUGGUACUCCUAGCCGCCUUGGGGGGAACCUUGUUUUCCCUGGUCCCUGUCUUCUUUGGGGGUCCCUACUUGGUGGACCUGGCUGCCUUGGGGGGCCCCUUUUCCUCUUCAGUCCUGGACUUCUUUGGAGGUUCCGGCUUGGUGGGCUUGUCUGCCUUGGGCGGUUCCUUGUCCUUCUCAGCUCUGGUCUUUCUUGGAGGUUCCGGCUUGUUUGUUUUCGCCGCCUUAGGGGGGUCCUUUACUUCAUCAGCCCUGAUCUUCGGGGGAGGAGGCUCUUUCUUCUCCUCUGUGGGCUUCGCUCCUGGUGGGUCCUCUUUCUCAUUUGCCGACUCUUCUGUUCUUCCAUCCUCCUCUUUCUCGUCGGCUUCCUGUCCCUCUUCUUCCUCUUCUUUUCCCUUUUAUCUUUUUCUGCCAUCUCACUGUUCUCAGUAUGAACAGGCUGUCUUGGGGGAGAUGGCAGAGCGGCCUCUUUGGUCCUAGUUGGUGUUUUGACCAGGACCCCCUCUACUUCAGGGCAGUAACUCGAGGUCGUUGCCCUUGUGGGCUCUUCCGUCUUCUCGUGGUGGGCGGGCGACUCUCGCCUAGGGAGGACUGGGGAAGCGUCAUGGGGAGGACAUACCUCAACCUCAGCUAUUUUUAGCGACUCUGCAAGAGCCGCUGCCACUCCUCUCUCUAUGCCGUACUGCAGGGUGGUUGGACUGAGGAAUUUCUCCUCAAGCUUCCGCUUUUCCACCCGCAGGAGUUCGAGCUCUUCAAUGGCUGCCCUAUGCUUAUUGAGGAGCUUAUCGAAGCAUUGCUCGAGGAUGUUCGGGUGAACGUUCCCAACUUUCCUCCCUCGCCGUAUGGUGGCUAGGGAGUCGUGGAAAGCCUCCGUAAGCUCCGAACUCUUCUUCUGGGGUGUCAACGCCUGGUUUAGGAAGUCGUUAAGGUCGUUGAGGUACCCUGGCUUGGUGAAGUCUUUCCCAAACCCUGACUCCUCGACUGUUGGGCGAUUCUCGCCUCAGAAGAAGGAUCAAUCAGCAUAAAAGGAUCCAACGGGACCUCCAUGUUGAUGAUAUUGGAGGGCCCUUGGUCCCGGGUAUCUGGGGCAUCAGAUCCCUGGGGGCCUUUCGGACCUCAGUCCUAGCAGGGCGUGCGUGCUGACCCAUCUCAGUAUGGGUGUCGGCCGUUAGCUCGACUUCAUAGGGGGUGUUGGCCGUUAGCUCAACUUCAUUUGGUGUACCGGCCGUUAGCUCGGCUUCGCUAGUCAUCUUUCUUGGGCUUACUUUGUUGUAUUUCAUGAAAGAUGGUGUUCCAGUUCAAUAAUGUCAUGGUUACCACCGGUCCCCAAGGUAGCCAUCACAUAGCUGUCUUUCCAGUCUGUCUGACAAGCUGUCAAGUUUAGCCGUACUCUGGUUAAGAGACGCCCAGGGCGCACCAUGUGGAGGUGUUGAUCGGCACAUGUAGGUAGCCGUCAGGCCUCCCUACUUUGCGCAGUCUGCAACUGGCGUCGAUGAUGUCAGCCCGGGAAGCCCUGAUCUGCUGGACCAUUGUUGUUCUUGCCGCAUGUGGUCGUCUUCGCGGGGUUGCGCCGGUCCUUCCAGAGGCGCUGAUACCGCUGGAGCGCUGUUCAACGGCGCGGCCUGGCGACUCCCUACAUCUUCGUUUGGAUCGCACCACGGUGAAGCCUUCUUCACCAGAUUCCGAGGCCUCCAUUCGUUCGGCCCAGUUCGCGCAGCGCCCACAGUGCCGCUUGUUGAAGGCGUGGCAUCAGCGGCGCAAGCUGCGGGAAAAUUUGCAUGCUGUUUGUCUGCGGGUAAAUUUGCAUAGGUGCAGUUUGAAUUUUUCAUUCUUGAUUCUUCAACUUGAUGAUUUUUUGCGGAUAUCUCCGCAACAGCUUUGUUAUCAGAGCCGAGCCUUCCAGUCUCAUGUACAGUUGUCACAGUCGGGGCAUCUACAUGGCAGUCACAGACAAUGCGUUGUCGACGGCGCGAUACGCAUAACGCGCACGAAAAGUUAGAAAUUUUAUGCAUAGAAGGCAGUACACCAUAACUAACAACAAAGCAAGGAUAACAGUUAGGAUAAGAAGUUGUGUUUUCAAUCCAGCGAUGUCAAGUUGGCCGCCAGGGUGAGAUUCCAACCAUUGCAAAAUCUCCGACAGGCAGUCUGUACCUGAGCACGUAGGAUGAGAGCUGAAAACCAUUAAGGCAGUAAGAUUAUAGCUUAAGUAGCUAGUAGUGGGAAUAUGACAUCCGCUACUUAAAAUCGAUGUACAGCUCGAUGUGGGCUUUCAGCCAAUAUAAAAUUCGUUGUCUUCCGCGACAUUCCAAUGCUCGCCAGAGGCGAAAACGGCGAAGCUAAAAAUAGCGUGGCCGCUCGCCUCGUGUAUGUAUGUAUAUGUAUGUAUGUAUAUGUGUAGCAUACAAUCUUCGUAAUAAUAAUUCUUCGAGAAAGCAAAGAAUUUGCUCGACAAGUAGCUCUCGUUUGUGUUUAUCUCGUGGCCAAAGUUUGAUAUGGCAUCCGACACUUUCUUCUUUAAGAAUUCAGUAUACUCCUCAAAAGUGUCAAAUCCUACAGAUUUGGGAUCAUCCUUUAUGUAUUGGGGAAUCCCAAUAAUGGCUCUCAGGUCGUCGCCUUUAACUAGUAUCCUAACUAUAACAGGCAACCCUCUAAAUGCCGCUUGAAUCUGCCCAUAGUACACCUCCAUCCAAUCGAGUUGGAGAUGGCCCUCUACUCCCCCGUCCUGGCCAUCCCAUUGGAUGAAGAUGUCUUGGUCAGCUAUAUAAAGAGGGUUGUCUGAAAAGGGUACUGGGAUUUUGAAAACGCCUCGGUCCCCAUCACUGCGUCGUGUAUUUGCCGGAGGACAGGCUCACAAACAGCUACUCUGAAGAGAUUGUAUGUAUAUGUGUAUGUAUGUAUGUAUGUAUGUAUGUAUGUAUGUAUGUAUGUAUGUAUGUAUGUAUGUAUGUUCAAUUUAAGUGUAGGAUUUUUACUAUUAGCUUUUUUACAAUUUUCUGUUUUAGUACAUGAUUUAGAAAUGUGGCCCUUGCUACCACAUUUCGCUCAAGUAUUUUCCGAUUCUUUACAGUUUUUAUAUUUAUGAAAAUCAAGACUUUACUCCCUCGCCGUAUGGUGGCUAGGGAGUCGUGGAAAGCCUCCGUAAGCUCCGAACUCUUCUUCUGGGGUGUCAACGCCUGGUUUAGGAAGUCGUUAAGGUCGUUGAGGUACCCUGGCUUGGUGAAGUCUUUCCCAAACCCUGACUCCUCGACUGUUUGGCCGAUAAAGGAUCCAGCAUAAAAGGAUCCAACGGGACCUCCAUGUUGAUGAUAUUGGAGGGCCCUUGGUCCCGGAUAUCUGGGGCAUCAGAUGUGUUGCGGGCGCAGGUGCCGGCUUCCUUGACAAUGACAAUGAAACAGACUUUAUUGACCGUUCAGUCAAUGGUUACACUCAAAGAGUCUCAAAGGGAAAAUAU
This is a non-coding RNA of Cordylochernes scorpioides, 15984 nucleotides long. The record is from the annotation of a GenBank genome assembly. NCBI's taxonomy places the organism in Eukaryota, Metazoa, Arthropoda, Arachnida, Pseudoscorpiones, Chernetidae.